UCACCAUCACUAUUAUCACCAUCAUCACCAUCAUCACCAUCAACACCAUCAUAAUCAUUAUCACCAUCAUCAUCAUCACUACCAUUAACAGCAGCAGCAGCAGCAUCACCUUUAUCAUCAUCAUCGCCACCAUUGCCAUCAUGGAUCAACAGAAGGACCCACCUGUUCUGCCAUGGCACUCCAGGCUGGGCGACAGAGCGAGACUGUGUCUCAAAAAAAAAAAAUAACGUGGCUGAGAAAUAAUGGCAGCAGGGAUGAAGGGAUGG
Molecule: long non-coding RNA, 266 nt
Filed under: Homo sapiens (human)
Lineage: Eukaryota; Metazoa; Chordata; Mammalia; Primates; Hominidae
Description: non-protein coding lnc-GCNT7-5:1
Source: RNAcentral